RNAcentral lists this ribosomal RNA (419 nucleotides) under uncultured bacterium. Its description in RNAcentral is "partial 16S ribosomal RNA". It matches the Rfam family "Bacterial small subunit ribosomal RNA", at positions 360 to 776 of the family's 1533-position model. The record is from RNAcentral.
AAUAUUGGGCAAUGGAUGGAAGUCUGACCCAGCCAUCCCGCGUGCGGGAAGAUGGCCCUCAGGUCUGUAAACGGCUGUUGACGGAGGAGAAUAUGCUGGGCUCGUCCGGUUUUGACCGUAGCAGUUGAAUAAUCACCUGAUAACUUCGUGCCAGCGGCCGCGGUAAUACGUAUGGUGCGAGCGUUGGCCGGCUUUAUGGGGUUUAAAGGGUGCGUACGCUGGUAGGUACGUCAGCGGUGAAAAGCAAACGCUUAACGGGUGUCUUGCCGCAGAUACUACUUUUCCUGGAUGACGAGGACGUCACUGGAACGGAUGGUGUAGCGGUGAACUGCAAAGAUCUCAUCCAGCACACCGAUUGCGAAGGCAGGUGACUGUACCUUAAUCGACGCUGAGGCACGAAAGCGUGGGGAGCGAACAGG